UUCUUCGGGGUGGGGUGUAAUUCCCUGACCGGCGGUAAAGCCCGCGAGCGUAAAGCAUGAUCCGGUGUGAUUCCGGAGCCGACAGUAUAGUCUGGAUGAGAGAAGAUU
This 108-nucleotide non-coding RNA is filed under the name bovine gut metagenome. RNAcentral's name for it is "FMN riboswitch (RFN element)". It matches the Rfam family "FMN riboswitch aptamer (RFN element)". From Rfam's summary of the family: The RFN element is a highly conserved domain that is found frequently in the 5'-untranslated regions of prokaryotic mRNAs that encode for flavin mononucleotide (FMN) biosynthesis and transport proteins. The record is from RNAcentral.